CCCCAGUAACGGCGAGUGAAGCGGCAACAGCUCAAAUUUGAAAUCUGGCCCCUCUCGGGGCCCGAGUUGUAAUUUGUAGAGGAUGCUUUUGGUGCGGCGCCAGCUGAGUUCCCUGGAACGGGACGCCAUAGAGGGUGAGAGCCCCGUCACGCUGGACGCCAAGCCUAUGUAAAGCUCCUUCGACGAGUCGAGUAGUUUGGGAAUGCUGCUCAAAUUGGGAGGUAUAUGUCUUCUAAAGCUAAAUACCGGCCAGAGACCGAUAGCGCACAAGUAGAGUGAUCGAAAGAUGAAAAGCACUUUGAAAAGAGAGUUAACCAGUACGUGAAAUUGUUGAAAGGGAAGCGCUCAUGACCAGACUUGGGCUUGGCGAAUCACCCGGCGUUCUCGCCGGUGCACUUCGCCUCGCCCAGGCCAGCAUCAGUUCGUCGCGGGGGACAAAAGCGCCGGGAACGUGGCUCCCCCGGGAGUGUUAUAGCCCGGCGCACAAUACCCUGCGGUGGACUGAGGUUCGCGCAUCUGCAAGGAUGCUGGCGUAAUGGUCAUCAGCGACCCGUCUUGAAACACGGACCAAGGAGUCGUCUUCGUAUGCGAGUGUUCGGGUGUCAAACCCCUACGCGUAAUGAAAGUGAACGCAGGUGAGAGCUUCGGCGCAUCAUCGACCGAUCCUGAUGUUCUCGGAUGGAUUUGAGUAAGAGCAUACGGGGCCGGACCCGAAAGAAGGUGAACUAUGCCUGUAUAGGGUGAAGCCAGAGGAAACUCUGGUGGAGGCUCGCAGCGGUUCUGACGUGCAAAUCGAUCGUCAAAUAUGGGCAUGGGGGCGAAAGACUAAUCGAACCUUCUAGUAGCUGGUUUCCGCCGAAGUUUCCCUCAGGAUAGCAGUGUUGAACUCAGUUUUAUGAGGUAAAGCGAAUGAUUAGGGACUCGGGGGCGCUAUUUAGCCUUCAUCCAUUCUCAAACUUUAAAUAUGUAAGAAGCCCUUGUUGCUUAAUUGAACGUGGGCAUUCGAAUGUAUCAACACUAGUGGGCCAUUUUUGGUAAGCAGAACUGGCGAUGCGGGAUGAACCGAACGCGAGGUUAAGGUGCCAGAGUAGACGCUCAUCAGACACCACAAAAGGCGUUAGUACAUCUUGACAGCAGGACGGUGGCCAUGGAAGUCGGAAUCCGCUAAGGACUGUGUAACAACUCACCUGCCGAAUGUACUAGCCCUGAAAAUGGAUGGCGCUCAAGCGUCUCACCCAUACCUCGCCCUCAGGGUAGAAACGAUGCCCUGAGGAGUAGGCGGACGUGGAGGUCAGUGACGAAGCCUAGGGCGUGAGCCGGGGUCGAACGGCCUCUAGUGCAGAUCUU
Molecule: ribosomal RNA, 1347 nt
Filed under: Cladobotryum stereicola
Lineage: Eukaryota; Fungi; Ascomycota; Sordariomycetes; Hypocreales; Hypocreaceae
Description: eukaryotic LSU rRNA
Rfam family: Eukaryotic large subunit ribosomal RNA
Source: RNAcentral